This 253-nucleotide ribosomal RNA is filed under the name uncultured bacterium. RNAcentral's name for it is "partial 16S ribosomal RNA". It matches the Rfam family "Bacterial small subunit ribosomal RNA", at positions 524 to 776 of the family's 1533-position model. The record is from RNAcentral.
UACGUAGGUGGCAAGCGUUGUUCGGAAUCACUGGGCGUAAAGCGCACGUAGGCGGGUUCUUAAGUCAGGGGUGAAAUCCUGGAGCUCAACUCCAGAACUGCCUUUGAUACUGGGAAUCUCGAGUCCGGGAGAGGUGAGUGGAACUGCGAGUGUAGAGGUGAAAUUCGUAGAUAUUCGCAAGAACACCAGUGGCGAAGGCGGCUCACUGGCCCGGUACUGACGCUGAGGUGCGAAAGCGUGGGGAGCAAACAGG